AACAAUGUCUUCAGGAGUAGUUGUGUUAGCAAAACGAGAUAGAUGAAGCCAUUUUAUUUUUGGUAUAGCACUUAAAUUUGUUGACGUAUCGGUGCCAAUAAUUUUCACUUCUCUUUUCUUUUUUUGGGGGUUUCUUUUUUUACUCUCAACAACAACAAACUCUGAUUUUUUAGAAUUAUUUUUUUUGAAGGUCCGGGAAUAUUAUCAUUAAAUGAUGGGUCAUUGAUUGAAAUGAGUUCCAUUUUUGAAUUUUCAGUUAAAUUGUUAUUUACACCAAUGUUAAUGUUUGCUAGGUAAUUAAUAAUUACAUAGAGGUAGGUAUUCAUAUGCACAAAUGGAGGUUAGUUGAUACACAUGUAUGUAGGUACAUAUAUACAUAUUCAUAUGUAUAUCUUAAGUUGGGGGCGUAGGUACCUAUUAGAUUUUUCAACUAUUUUAGAAGGUUAAAGUAUUUUUGGCAGAUUUCUUUGCUUUAAAAAAAAUUCGAAGACAACAAAAAUAUAUGUACCUAUGCAUGUAAUCAAAGUGGAGUAAAAAAGGAUUCUUAAAGCCAUUUUGCUACCAUUUACCAAUUUUUGUUACCAUUUACCAGUGCACUGUGCAUACUCAAAUAUUGUACACACAAUUUCUUCUCGCAUUGUUAAAUUUUAUAUACAUUUUGUGGUAUACAUGGCUUUAAGAAUUAUUUUUCUAUUUUGUUUUUGCUUUUUGCCUAUUUGUUUGUCAUAUGGUUUUGCUUAAGGUUGCCAAUUGCAUGAAAGUAGUUUUGAGUUUUAGCAGCUUUUGUAGUCGCAUGGCAGUGGUUUAUUUAUCGACGUGUUGUUUUAAUUAAAUAAAAUUAACAAAGCUACCUAUGCAAGUUGUGAAAGUUAAACUACUUUCGGCAAAAUAUUUAUCUACAUACCUACCUAUAAUUUUCAAGGCAGUAUCGUUGUUUUUUCUCAAAACAUUAGAACCGAAACAGGUUUUUCACAAAAUGUAAGCAUGUUUUAUUAAUAACAAAAAGACAGGUGACAAUUAGGUACAUUUAUUUUUAUUCUGUGUUGAAAUCUUAGGUAAAUCAAAGUAUUUACCUAAAGCAAACAUUUAGUUAGUUUUUUAAUUAAGAGUAGGAAAUAUGAAUAAAUUUAAAUGUGCCUUAGUAUAUCGAAUUUUUUUUUAAUUUUUUUUGAGCACUUAAGCUAUGAUUACACGGUUAACGAAAUCGGUCAACGCGUUGACUCUCUGACGUUACAAAAAAUGUAUAUUUUCUCCGUAAUCUCACCGUCAACGUUUACAGUAUCAAUGCUUAAAACAUUGACUAUCACACGAUGUUGUCCCAAAUUACGUUGACGCACAGGUGUGUCAACCUGACUUUUACUCAUCAGUGCCAAUGCAUUGACUCGCAAAACUUUGAUGAUCACACGGAUUGACACAAAGCAAAAAAAACGUCAGCACAAGUCAAAGUUAUUUUGGUAAAAUAAAAUAAAAAUUAUAAAAAGCAAUAGCAAUGACAAAAAGAAAUAUGGAGAUAGCGGUUUUGGCCGCAUACAUUUUAGAAAGCAGCACGGACGAUGAGCACGAGGAAGACAUCCGCAGUGCGAGGCCUUCACGAAAACAGCGUUCGGUUCGGACAAAACAAUUGAUUGAAGGUCCGGGAGAAAGAGGGAUUUGGUGUAAAAUUAUUACGCGAAUUGCGCGCUGAGGAACCAACUUUAUAUCGAAAUUUUCUCCGCAUGGGCGCAAGACAGUUUGAUUACUUGCUGGCGCUGGUGAAGCCUCACAUACAAAAACAAAAUACAAAAAUGCGGACGAGCAUUUCUGCCGAGGUGCGAUUGGUCCUCACACUGCGAUUCCUUGCCACUGACGAAAAUUUCAGAUCUUUGCAGUACCUUUUUAGAAUUUCCCAACCAGAUAUCUCCUCUAUUAUUUCCCAAGUUCUUGACGCGGUUUUCAAUGUUCUUGUUUCUGACUUUAUAAAGAUUCCGAAGAGUGAAUCUGAAUGGGAGGCAGUAGCUGAAAAAUUCAACGAAGCGUGGCAGUUCCCGAAUUGCGUAGGUGCAGUGGACGGAAAACACGUUCAUAGUCGCACCACCUCAUGCCGGUAACGUGUACUAUAAUUAUAAAGGGACACAUAGCAUAGUUCUAAUGGGAAUAUCUGAUGCCGAGUACAAACUUUUGUACAUUGACGUCGGCCGCAACGGAAAAUUCUCGGACGGUAGUGUAUUCAACAGAUAUACAUUUGGACAAGCACUAGACAGCAACCGUUUGCACUUACCUGCUCCAAAACCUGCCUGGAAGAAAAAGGGCCGUUCCAUAUGUGCUUGUGGCUGAUGAUGCAUUUGCAUUGCGAAUAAAUAUAAUGAAACAGUUUGCCCAACGAAAUUUAACCUUACCAGAACGUGUUUUCAAUUAUCGACUGAGCCGAACUCGUCGUAUAAUUGAAAAUUUGUUUGGCAUUAUGUCUGCACGUUUUCGUAUCCUUCGUAAGCCCAUUCAUUUGGAACCUUCAAAAGUAAAGAAAGUUGUGCUCGCAUGCUCAGUGCUGCACAACUUUCUUAUGACUACUAAUAGAUUAUUAUUAUUUAUUAUUAUUAUUUUACGUGUGAAGGCGAACUACCUUCCAUCAUCUUCCAUCAUAAUCUGAUAAAUUUUUUAUCAAAGAAAGGGACAAUAUUUUAAAUUUAAAAAAAAACUUACCAGCAGCUUUCAAAUUUCAAUAUAUGUAUGCCCUGUUUUUAUUUUUUAUUUUUUGAAUUAAAUGAUGCAAAAAAAACA
Molecule: long non-coding RNA, 2757 nt
Organism: Eupeodes corollae
Lineage: Eukaryota; Metazoa; Arthropoda; Insecta; Diptera; Syrphidae
Exons: 4
Source: RefSeq, a predicted model, not a curated record